AUUCCUCCUGCUUAGUGACUCGAAUUCGGGAAUAACUUUAAGUCAGAUUAAAGUGGUGGGCUUCCAUACUCCGAAAGACCUUAUUUCAAGUCUUUUUUCAUCAGUACCAUUCAGGAUCAAGUUUUCUUCAGCAACCUUGACCUUUUCUUCAUAACUUUUUACAUUGGCAUAUAUGUCACCAAAAACCUCCUCAGACCACUUACUUAGAGUAGAAGUUAGUCUUUUUAUUUUUUUGGUGAAAUCUGCACAUGGGUGUUCCCUAACAGGGUAUUUGCCAGCAGUUUUCCACAGUAGUAAGGAAUGUGGGAUGCAUG
Molecule: long non-coding RNA, 314 nt
Filed under: Capsicum annuum
Lineage: Eukaryota; Viridiplantae; Streptophyta; Magnoliopsida; Solanales; Solanaceae
Description: long non-coding RNA (CANN_LNC016031)
Source: RNAcentral